This 262-nucleotide ribosomal RNA is filed under the name uncultured bacterium. Its description in RNAcentral is "partial 16S ribosomal RNA". It matches the Rfam family "Bacterial small subunit ribosomal RNA", at positions 793 to 1055 of the family's 1533-position model. The record is from RNAcentral.
GUCCACGCCGUAAACGUUGGGCACUAGGUGUGGGGCUCUAUCAACGGGCUCCGUGCCGUAGCUAACGCAUUAAGUGCCCCGCCUGGGGAGUACGGCCGCAAGGCUAAAACUCAAAGGAAUUGACGGGGGCCCGCACAAGCGGCGGAGCAUGUGGCUUAAUUCGAUGCAACGCGAAGAACCUUACCUGGGUUGAACUAUGCAGGAAAAGCCAUAGAGAUAUGGUGUCCUUCGGGGCCUGCGAUAGGUGGUGCAUGGCUGUCGU